This 167-nucleotide unclassified non-coding RNA is filed under the name uncultured Hydropisphaera. RNAcentral's name for it is "sequence contains ITS1". Lineage: Eukaryota; Fungi; Ascomycota; Sordariomycetes; Hypocreales; Bionectriaceae. The record is from RNAcentral.
CUGAGUGUAAAAACUCCCAAACCCAUUGUGAACAUACCACUGUUGCUUCGGCGGAUCCGCCCCGGGCGCGCUCCUCACAGGGCGUGCCCCGGAACCAGGCGCCCGCCGGGGGACCUAAACUCUUGUUUUUUUCAGGCUUCUCUGAGUGUGAUUAGCAAAUCAAAUUA